UACGGAGGGUGCAAACGUUGCUCGGAAUCAUUGGGCGUAAAGCGCACGUAGGCGGAUCGCUAAGUCGGAUGUGAAAUCCCUCAGCUUAACUGAGGAAGUGCAUUCGAAACUGACGGUCUUGAGUAUGGAAGAGGGUCGCGGAAUUCCCGGUGUAGAGGUGAAAUUCGUAGAUAUCGAGAGGAACACCGGUGGCGAAGGCGGCGACCUGGACGAUGACUGACGCUGAGACGCGAAAGCGUGGGGAGCAAACAGG
Molecule: ribosomal RNA, 253 nt
Filed under: uncultured bacterium
Lineage: Bacteria
Description: partial 16S ribosomal RNA
Rfam family: Bacterial small subunit ribosomal RNA
Source: RNAcentral